GUCAGUGUGGCCGAGUGGUUAAGGCGAUUGAGUACGUUUGUCUACCGUUAAUUUACACUUUUCAAAUCUCUUACUAACUAUCCCUACAGCUAGAAAUCAAUUCCGUUCGCGGGCAGAGGUUCGAAUCCUCUCGCUGACG
Non-coding RNA from Aspergillus hancockii, 139 nucleotides. Lineage: Eukaryota; Fungi; Ascomycota; Eurotiomycetes; Eurotiales; Aspergillaceae. The record is from the annotation of a GenBank genome assembly.